UUAGUGGCGGAGUCGGCUCACAGCUCUAGACGUAGUAAUUUUUUUCCUCGCCUGUGUGUUGUGCCGGUCCCCUGCCGUAAAACCCCUUAAUUUUUCAAGGUUGACCUCGGAUCAGGUAGGAAUACCCGCUGAACUUAAGCAUAUCAAUAAGCGGAGGAA
This 159-nucleotide ribosomal RNA is filed under the name Xylaria sp. XF10. RNAcentral's name for it is "partial 28S ribosomal RNA". The stretch from base 102 to 159 matches the Rfam family "Eukaryotic large subunit ribosomal RNA", at positions 1 to 58 of the family's 3401-position model. The record is from RNAcentral. Lineage: Eukaryota; Fungi; Ascomycota; Sordariomycetes; Xylariales; Xylariaceae.